RNAcentral lists this long non-coding RNA (206 nucleotides) under Volvox carteri. RNAcentral describes it as "long non-coding RNA (VCAR_LNC003014)". Lineage: Eukaryota; Viridiplantae; Chlorophyta; Chlorophyceae; Chlamydomonadales; Volvocaceae. The record is from RNAcentral.
AUGUGUUUACAACAACACGGGAGGAGAUACUCCAUUGUUGCAUUUACUACUUAACGUGUACCAAUACAUUAAGACAUUAGCAAUGUACUAAUAAUUAACGGUAAGCUUUCUUCCAAUUUUCUUAUAUAAAGCCAUAUACUACAGGUCCUACUGGUCCUAAUAAAUAGGAAGAACAAAGCGCAAAUGCCGAUAAGAAAUAUGGAGUU